RNAcentral lists this ribosomal RNA (682 nucleotides) under Lacticaseibacillus rhamnosus. Its description in RNAcentral is "bacterial SSU rRNA". It matches the Rfam family "Bacterial small subunit ribosomal RNA", at positions 1 to 647 of the family's 1533-position model. The record is from RNAcentral. Lineage: Bacteria; Bacillati; Bacillota; Bacilli; Lactobacillales; Lactobacillaceae.
UUAUAUGAGAGUUUGAUCCUGGCUCAGGAUGAACGCUGGCGGCGUGCCUAAUACAUGCAAGUCGAACGAGUUCUGAUUAUUGAAGGGUGCUUGCAUCUUGAUUUAAUUUUGAACGAGUGGCGGACGGGUGAGUAACACGUGGGUAACCUGCCCUUAAGUGGGGGAUAACAUUUGGAAACAGAUGCUAAUACCGCAUAAAUCCAAGAACCGCAUGGUUCUUGGCUGAAAGAUGGCGUAAGCUAUCGCUUUUGGAUGGACCCGCGGCGUAUUAGCUAGUUGGUGAGGUAACGGCUCACCAAGGCAAUGAUACGUAGCCGAACUGAGAGGUUGAUCGGCCACAUUGGGACUGAGACACGGCCCAAACUCCUACGGGAGGCAGCAGUAGGGAAUCUUCCACAAUGGACGCAAGUCUGAUGGAGCAACGCCGCGUGAGUGAAGAAGGCUUUCGGGUCGUAAAACUCUGUUGUUGGAGAAGAAUGGUCGGCAGAGUAACUGUUGUCGGCGUGACGGUAUCCAACCAGAAAGCCACGGCUAACUACGUGCCAGCAGCCGCGGUAAUACGUAGGUGGCAAGCGUUAUCCGGAUUUAUUGGGCGUAAAGCGAGCGCAGGCGGUUUUUUAAGUCUGAUGUGAAAGCCCUCGGCUUAACCGAGGAAGUGCAUCGGAAACUGGGAAACUUGAGU